GCCCGUGUGGCUCAGUGGUUGAGCACUGACCUAUGAAGCAGGAGGUCACAGUUCAAUUCCUGGUCAAGGGCA
This is a non-coding RNA of Myotis brandtii (Brandt's bat), 72 nucleotides long. NCBI's taxonomy places the organism in Eukaryota, Metazoa, Chordata, Mammalia, Chiroptera, Vespertilionidae. The record is from Rfam.